AUGGCUUUGCAGAAGGGAGUGUGUCAAAAAUCGUUAAGUGCCUGGGAGAUGAAGUGCAUAAUCACAGAAAGCAGUCCCUGGCAAAGGAAUGCCUGCCACUUACCAAUGAGAUGCCAGACUCCCCUGUCCUUCCUCUGUGACUCUCAAUUCCUGUCUGCCAUCCUCCUGCCCGUCAACACAGUUCAGAUAGAGCAGUUCCUUGAGUCCACUCUGCCUGUGGCAGGAGAGAAUUGCGGAGUUUUUAAUCAUUCAGAGGAAAUCCUCCAGCUUGCCCUGCUUCUCCCUGAAGAGGGGACCCAGGUCUGCAAAAGGGACAACUUCAUCACACACCAAAAGAAGGAUCAAGGUGCAACUACUUUUGUGGAGCUCCAAAUUCACCAGGGACAGCCAGCAGCAGGGAGAGAAAAGUGGCUGAAUCACUCAUUGAAUGAUGCCUUCAUCUUCAGGGGAUGGACCGCAAUACUAUUACCUGAGGACAUUGGUGGAAACCCUGUACAGUGGAAGAAGGAUUUAGAUAAUAAAAACAAUCAUCACCCAUGGAAAAAGGGCAAAGAUACAUACUCGGCCCAGUAUUGUGAUUAAAGGAGGGACGAAUAGUUUUGAAGUCCACACCUUCUAUUCCAGUUUCACAAUGCCCACCUAAGAGUUUAAGCUUUUAAGCAGAUCAAAGAACCUGCCAUUCUCUUUCACCUCCCACCAACAUGCUAAUAGAUUAAGUCUUUUGCAAAAAUAUAACUAAAUAACCUAUAUUAAUUUACAUACAAUCACAUUUGGAAGGCAUUGGGAGCAAUCAAUGUACAUAGGACUUGAGGGGCUAUAGUAUUUGACAAAAGGAAACAUGAUAUAUUAAUGUUCAUUCUCACCUUAAUGGUAUUUCCAAAUCAUGGUGUGGGGCAGUGGAGUGCAAGUAAAAACCAAAAGUAUUACUGCUGCUGGGAGCGACUGAAGUUUAAUUUCAUCAGACUGUGAUUUCAGAAACAUCGGGGCGCCUGGGUGGCUCAGUCGGUUGAGCAUCCGACUUUGGACCAGGUCAUGAUCUCGCAGUCCAUGGGUUCGAGCCCCGCAUCGGGCUCUGUGCUGACAGCUCGGAGCCGGGAGCCUGUUUCAGAUUCUGUGUCUCCCUCUCUCUCUGACCCUCCUCUGUUCAUGCUCUGUCUCUCCCUGUCUCAAAAAUAAAUAGACAUUAAAAAAAAAAAAAAAGAAACA
Molecule: long non-coding RNA, 1206 nt
Filed under: Felis catus (domestic cat)
Lineage: Eukaryota; Metazoa; Chordata; Mammalia; Carnivora; Felidae
Description: lncRNA (ENSFCAG00000041472.2)
Source: RNAcentral